AACAUCUAAGUACCCCGAGGAAAAGAAAUCAACCGAGAUUCCCCCAGUAGCGGCGAGCGAACGGGGAGCAGCCCAGAGCCUGAAUCAGUGUGUGUGUUAGUGGAAGCGUCUGGAAAGGCGCGCGAUACAGGGUGACAGCCCCGUACACAAAAAUGCACAUGCUGUGAGCUCGAUGAGUAGGGCGGGACACGUGGUAUCCUGUCUGAAUAUGGGGGGACCAUCCUCCAAGGCUAAAUACUCCUGACUGACCGAUAGUGAACCAGUACCGUGAGGGAAAGGCGAAAAGAACCCCGGCGAGGGGAGUGAAAAAGAACCUGAAACCGUGUACGUACAAGCAGUGGGAGCACAGAGCAAUCUGUGUGACUGCGUACCUUUUGUAUAAUGGGUCAGCGACUUAUAUUCUGUAGCAAGGUUAACCGAAUAGGGGAGCCGAAGGGAAACCGAGUCUUAACUGGGCGUUAAGUUGCAGGGUAUAGACCCGAAACCCGGUGAUCUAGCCAUGGGCAGGUUGAAGGUUGGGUAACACUAACUGGAGGACCGAACCGACUAAUGUUGAAAAAUUAGCGGAUGACUUGUGGCUGGGGGUGAAAGGCCAAUCAAACCGGGAGAUAGCUGGUUCUCCCCGAAAGCUAUUUAGGUAGCGCCUCGUGAAUUCAUCUCCGGGGGUAGAGCACUGUUUCGGCAAGGGGGUCAUCCCGACUUACCAACCCGAUGCAAACUGCGAAUACCGGAGAAUGUUAUCACGGGAGACACACGGCGGGUGCUAACGUCCGUCGUGAAGAGGGAAACAACCCAGACCGCCAGCUAAGGUCCCAAAGUCAUGGUUAAGUGGGAAACGAUGUGGGAAGGCCCAGACAGCCAGGAUGUUGGCUUAGAAGCAGCCAUCAUUUAAAGAAAGCGUAAUAGCUCACUGGUCGAGUCGGCCUGCGCGGAAGAUGUAACGGGGCUAAACCAUGCACCGAAGCUGCGGCAGCGACGCUUAUGCGUUGUUGGGUA
This 996-nucleotide ribosomal RNA is filed under the name Escherichia coli. Its description in RNAcentral is "partial 23S ribosomal RNA". It matches the Rfam family "Bacterial large subunit ribosomal RNA", at positions 197 to 1230 of the family's 2925-position model. Lineage: Bacteria; Pseudomonadati; Pseudomonadota; Gammaproteobacteria; Enterobacterales; Enterobacteriaceae. The record is from RNAcentral.